GUACGCCUCAAUCCUCCACACUCUUAACCCUUUACCCCUACCGAACAAUUCUAUACGUCUAUAGAACUUUUUAUGUUAAGACUAGUAGCAAGAAACCAAUUUUCUCUUAUAAUUUUAGUAUAAGCCAGCCUGAAUAAACCACUGGCACUUAAUAGUCAUGUCCCCUUUGUAGCAACCCCCUUAGAAAACCCUACUUUUCCCCCUAUUAAUCUUACACAAGCAAAACUCAAGAAAGAUUAAAAAAGAAGGAAGGAACUCGGCAAACCUCGAUUCCGCCUGUUUACCAAAAACAUCGCCUCCUGCCCAAAUAUAGGAGGUCCUGUCUGCCCAGUGACCCUGUUCAACGGCCGCGGUAUCCUAACCGCGCGAAGGUAGCGUAAUCACUUGUUUUUUAAAUAAAGACCUGUAUGAAAGACCACACGAGAAUCGUACUGUCUCCCCCCUCUAAUCAGCGAAACUAAUCUCCUCGUGAAAAAGCGAGAAUUCUUAUACAAGACGAGAAGACCCUGUGGAACUUUAAACAAACACAUCAAGUUUGUCACCCCUUACUAUGAUUGUUAGUUUUUGGCUGGGGCGACCUUGGAGCAUAAAAAAACCUCCGAGAUGAUAUGGAACUUUCCUAAACACAAGGCUACAACCUUAUGUAUCAACAAAUUGACUUUAUUGACCCUUAUUGAUCAACGAACCAAGCUACCCCAGGGAUAACAGCGCAAUCUGCCCCGAGAGUCCACAUUAACGGGCAGGCUUACGACCUCGAUGUUGGAUCAAGGUGUCCAAGUGGUGCAGCCGCUACUUAAGGUUCGUUUGUUCAACGAUUAAAACCUAACGUGAUCU
RNAcentral lists this ribosomal RNA (834 nucleotides) under Phyzelaphryne miriamae (Miriam's frog). Its description in RNAcentral is "partial 16S ribosomal RNA". It matches the Rfam family "Bacterial large subunit ribosomal RNA", at positions 1480 to 2606 of the family's 2925-position model. The record is from RNAcentral. Lineage: Eukaryota; Metazoa; Chordata; Amphibia; Anura; Eleutherodactylidae.